Long non-coding RNA from Lagopus leucura (white-tailed ptarmigan), 318 nucleotides. RefSeq lists it as uncharacterized. The record is from RefSeq and is a predicted model, not a curated record. The transcript is spliced from 3 exons. Lineage: Eukaryota; Metazoa; Chordata; Aves; Galliformes; Phasianidae.
UGCACUGGAGUCCAGCAGCUCGCUCUUACUCUCUGAAGUUUUUUACUUGGAAGAUUUCAUGAAGGGAAGACAGCAGGAAAAGCAGGAUUAGCGUGAUGCCAUAUGGCGUGGAACAGCCCCUUGGCCAUUUUGGGUCAGCUGUCCUGAUCGUAUCCAUUCGCUGCCCUUGCUGGCAGGGCAGUAUGAGAAGCUGAAAAGUCCCUAACUUGGUGUAAGGACAGCUCAGCAACAAUUAAAAUAAAUACUGCCGUUUCUCCGGAAUGAACCAAAUUUUGCAUUCCCUUGGGACCCUCGAUAUCUGUUCCUGACAGCCCUGUG